AGUCUCGGGGCCAGCCCCAGUCCCCACCCCCUAGGACCCCGCCCCCUGAGCCACCCAGCCCGGCCCCCUUGGAACGCCCCACCCCCGGCGCCCUGGCCCCGCCCCCAUCCCCGCCCCCUCCCGCACCGCCGGGGGGACCUCGCCUUCCUCCGGAGCUGUGGUUCCCACAGGCUGUUGUGAGUGGCGUUUCAGCUCCGCUGCUCCCGAGUGGAGGGAUCGGGGCACCCCCUUCCGCCCUGGCUCAGUAUAUUGGGGGCGCUGACCGUGAGAGGGGCGGGAGGAGCGGGCGUCGGUCUUCGACCGUGGGCGCCAAUCUUACAGCGCCCUCUGGGCGUGGGCACCCAGCGUCCUCCAGCCCAAAUUCUGCAGGAAAGCCUCUUCCUUGAGAAGCUGCCUCAGAGAUACAGCCCUUUGGAAUGUGACAGCAACAUUGGUACAUAUGCACAGUAAAAGAACACCUCAAUUUCAACUGGCCCUUUGGCCAUCCAAAAUGAAGAUUCUCUUUCCCAGCAUCGCCACAGCUCUAUGUAGCUGCCUGAUGACGGGACAUGAGCAGAGAUGGUCGUACGUACGUUCAGGGAACGAGCAGAGAUGGUUGUACAUACGUUCAGGGAGCGUCAAAGGGAAGGACAGUUCCUUCUUUCCUUUUUUCUUUCCUCUUGGUAGGGAUGCAGAUAUGGCUACAGCUGGAGCAGUCAUCUUGGACAGGAAGUGAACUUGAGAACAGAGACCAUGCCUGGCAGAGGACCAGGUUAGGAGCAUCAGGUGCCCAGCCAGUGAGGCGGCACACCAGCCUUGCCCUGCCCAUGCACACGUGUGGAUGAUGGACCUCUGCGUUGCUUCAAAAACUGUUAUCCUGGAUUUUCCACCCCUUGCCAGAGAAUCUAACUCUGACAAUACUCUGGUCAAUUUGGCCUCCUGCAUGCAACCCAAGAGAGUGUGGGGAGGACAGUUAUGUGGGGGGAGGAGGGAGACGGGGGUUGUUCCAAAGAUGCUGUCCAUGAUACGACCCCACCAGCUCCCCAGUGCUGGACUGUCUUAAAUUUUGGAUUUGACUCAAGUCACCUAACAACCUCGGUCCCCAAAAGAAGUCUUGAUGAGAAAUAGGCUGUUCACACGAUGGGGUGUUUUCAGAAUCUGAAGCCCAUACAGACUGUUCUGCUCACACUGCUGGGGACCAUGCUCAGCAGGUGGCAGGCAUGCAGAGGGGGCUCC
Acinonyx jubatus (cheetah) is the source of this 1215-nucleotide long non-coding RNA. RefSeq lists it as uncharacterized. NCBI's taxonomy places the organism in Eukaryota, Metazoa, Chordata, Mammalia, Carnivora, Felidae. The transcript has 3 exons. The record is from RefSeq and is a predicted model, not a curated record.